AUUGAACGCUGGCGGCAUGCUUUACACAUGCAAGUCGAACGGUAACAGGCCUUCGGGUGCUGACGAGUGGCGCACGGGUGAGUAAUGCAUCGGAACGUGCCCAGAGGUGGGGGAUAACGCAGCGAAAGCUGUGCUAAUACCGCAUGUGAUCUGAGGAUGAAAGCGGGGGACCAGGCAGCAAUGUUUGGCCUCGCGCCUUUGGAGCGGCCGAUGUCAGAUUAGGUAGUUGGUGGGGUAAAGGCCUACCAAGCCGACGAUCUGUAGCUGGUCGGAGAGGACGACCAGCCACACUGGGACUGAGACACGGCCCAGACUCCUACGGGAGGCAGCAGUGGGGAAUUUUGGACAAUGGGCGCAAGCCUGAUCCAGCAAUGCCGCGUGCGGGAAGAAGGCCUUCGGGUUGUAAACCGCUUUUGUACGGAACGAAAAGGCUCUGGCUAAUACCUGGGGCUGAUGACGGUACCGUAAGAAUAAGCACCGGCUAACUACGUG
Molecule: ribosomal RNA, 492 nt
Filed under: uncultured bacterium
Lineage: Bacteria
Description: partial 16S ribosomal RNA
Rfam family: Bacterial small subunit ribosomal RNA
Source: RNAcentral